Molecule: ribosomal RNA, 700 nt
Filed under: uncultured bacterium
Lineage: Bacteria
Description: bacterial SSU rRNA
Rfam family: Bacterial small subunit ribosomal RNA
Source: RNAcentral
AGUGGCGGACGGGUGAGUAACGCGUAAGAAUCUAACUUCAGGACGGGGACAACAGUUGGAAACGACUGCUAAUACCCGAUGUGCCGCAAGGCGAAAACUAAUUGGCCUGAAGAAGAGCUUGCGUCUGAUUAGCUAGUUGGUGGGGUAAAGGCCUACCAAGGCGACGAUCAGUAGCUGGUCUGAGAGGAUGAGCAGCCACACUGGGACUGAGACACGGCCCAGACUCCUACGGGAGGCAGCAGUGGGGAAUUUUCCGCAAUGGGCGAAAGCCUGACGGAGCGACGCCGCGUGAGGGAGGAAGGUCUUUGGAUUGUAAACCUCUUUUCUCAAGGAAGAAGUUCUGACGGUACUUGAGGAAUCAGCCUCGGCUAACUCCGUGCCAGCAGCCGCGGUAAUACGGGGGAGGCAAGCGUUAUCCGGAAUUAUUGGGCGUAAAGCGUCCGCAGGUGGUCAGCCAAGUCUGCUGUCAAAUCAGGUUGCUUAACGACCUAAAGGCGGUGGAAACUGGCAGACUAGAGAGCAGUAGGGGUAGCAGGAAUUCCCAGUGUAGCGGUGAAAUGCGUAGAGAUUGGGAAGAACAUCGGUGGGGAAAGCGUGCUACUGGGCUGUAUCUGACACUCAGGGACGAAAGCUAGGGGAGCGAAAGGGAUUAGAUACCCCUGUAGUCCUAGCCGUAAACGAUGGAUACUAGGCGUGGCUU